RNAcentral lists this non-coding RNA (53 nucleotides) under unclassified sequences. Its description in RNAcentral is "Mu-gpT-DE RNA". It matches the Rfam family "Mu-gpT-DE RNA". The record is from Rfam by way of RNAcentral.
UCCUGACAGCGGCAUGACGCGGCUGACUUAACCCAAGACAGGAGAAACUCAUG